Molecule: non-coding RNA, 72 nt
Organism: Cordylochernes scorpioides
Lineage: Eukaryota; Metazoa; Arthropoda; Arachnida; Pseudoscorpiones; Chernetidae
Source: the annotation of a GenBank genome assembly
GCCCAGAUGAGGUGCAGCUUUCCAACCUGUAGCUGUAUAAAAGCGGAGUGGUUCGAUUCCACCUUCUCGGCG